GCACUGGUGGUAUAGUGGUGAACGUAGCUGCCCUCCAAGCAGUAGACCUGGGUUUGAUUCCUAGCCAGUGCA
Molecule: transfer RNA, 72 nt
Filed under: Loxodonta africana (African savanna elephant)
Lineage: Eukaryota; Metazoa; Chordata; Mammalia; Proboscidea; Elephantidae
Rfam family: tRNA
About the family: Transfer RNA (tRNA) molecules are approximately 80 nucleotides in length. Their secondary structure includes four short double-helical elements and three loops (D, anti-codon, and T loops).
Source: Rfam by way of RNAcentral